Non-coding RNA from Gasterosteus aculeatus aculeatus (three-spined stickleback), 1994 nucleotides. NCBI's taxonomy places the organism in Eukaryota, Metazoa, Chordata, Actinopteri, Perciformes, Gasterosteidae. The record is from RefSeq and is a predicted model, not a curated record.
GGAACGGCAAUCAGGUUGUGUUAAUGUGACAUGACAUGCUGAUGCAUCUCACUUUUUCAGCCCGAGACGAGGACACAGUUUUGGACACAGACAGUGAGUCCGCCAUCAAUCUGACACAUUAGGUUUUCACGAUAAAACAUAACCAGGGGACAAAUUUGCAUUCAAGAGGAGCGAGAUGUUACAGAGAGACCUUCCAGCAACAGGAAUGGAGUAAGAGAGUACAUUUAAUGUUUCUGUUUCAUUCUUCUUUAUACUACACAAUUCAUUUCAAAGCAAACUAUUGUAGCUUUUACACCGCUACAUUUAUUUGACACCGUACAAAUUUUAAUUUGACAUAAAACCCACAAUGAGCUCAUUAAAUAUGAUUUAUUCAAUUUUCAUAGUUUCAACGUCCACAAUACAUAAAGUAAACAAAAUUAACUCCAACGCGACCAACUACGAGAGAAGAAUAAUACAUCCCUACAUUCGUGCAUUCAUGCAUUACUAAUGAUAAUCCAACACUCGCUGGGGUCAUUUGUCUGCAGUGCUUCUGCUUUACAUUUACAUUUCAUCCCUUUAUUCAAGUAACAUAGCAGAUGCAGAACCAUACUUGUACAUUAGUAAGCAAGUAUCGCUGCUGUUGUUUAAGCAAAUUAUCUGGAUACUUACUCCAUCACUGCCUGAGACGUUAUAAAUAAGCACAGGGUAGAUACAGACCCGUCACGUUAAACCCUCACACACAUCUUAAGACAAUCACAGAACUUCAUUUAUCAACAUUUUUCGAUCGUAUCUGCACUGUGUAUUGCUUUCUAGGUGCGAGUGGGCUAUUUUCUUUUAAAUGUCAUAUUAUCUCUUUACAUUACAAAAUUUCUGUUCCCAAUUUGGGAAUAUUAUUAAUCUUCUAGUUGUUAAAAAUAAGUAAUAAGAGGCUCCCUCUCCAAGCGGGAAUUGCAGCUCCAGACGGAAACAACAUCACACUGGUUGUAAACAAGAUGCAUAUGCAGACAACACUUUUUUUAUGCACAACAUGUGUUGACUAUCAGCGCAGCCAAAUUGAUCCACUGAUGCAACUGUAAGCAACAGCGAUAGUGUGAGCUGCAUAGACAGUUGUCACUGCGGUCAAGAUUCAGACAUGGACGUGUGCAGUCUUAAGAACCCGGCCGCUGUGCAGACAGGGAAAUCAAUAGAGCAUUUUGUUAUCUAUCUCUAUCCUACAACUUAAAAGAGAAGGAUUAUAUGUCAUAGAGUGAGCCCAGGCAGACUCAGGCGUACAUCUAUCAUUGUAGGGAGUCGCGGGCCUUUUCCUGUGUAAAUCAUGUGUCACAUGGGCAGCAAGGUUCAUUCUCCGGCCAUGGAAUACAUUUAGGCCUUGGACACAGACCUCCAUUUUUCACUUGUGAUCGAGUGCUUCCCUGCAGUGCCGGACCUGUAAGUAGAUUAUUUUCCAACAUGACGCCUUCAUUGUUCGCUUUGUUAUUGCUGUCCAUAUCCGAUCAAACACGUGGAAAAAAAAAAAACAGCUUCAUGUGCUGCAAAAAAGUGAUUGAUACCUUUUAAUUAUUCCACUUCUCUUAGGAGUGCAACCGGCACAGCUGCCGAGGUUUUAACGUGACAAACGUUCGACGGUGAGGCCAGAAAAAGGCGGAUGGCAUGCAUGUGGCGGAGUGGCCAAGAGGCUUCAGUGCCACCGCCCCAUCCCCAUAAACCAAAACCCUCAGAUGGAGCCGCGACAGUGAACGAUCCGACUUCAUCGUUCGCAGGACCCUCAUCCUUGCGGAUGGUUUCCGAAACAUCCCUCAUGCGGAACGUAUGUGAAAGUAGCACUGGGAAAUGUAUGAGCCAUCACACACUGCGACGCGUCCUUUCAGUCACGGAUAAAGGGCCUCUCUGCGGAAGAUGCGUCCGACCGCUUGAGGAAAGGAAGUCCCAUCAUUAAAUUGUAAUAUCAGAGCCGUAAUCGAUUUGACAUUAAUGUUAUACAGAAAACCAUAAAUACAUAAAGAAAUUGAUCCCCA